Molecule: ribosomal RNA, 1370 nt
Filed under: uncultured bacterium
Lineage: Bacteria
Description: bacterial SSU rRNA
Rfam family: Bacterial small subunit ribosomal RNA
Source: RNAcentral
AGAGUUUGAUCCUGGCUCAGGACGAACGCUGGCGGCGCGCCUAACACAUGCAAGUCGAACGAGCGAGAGAGAGCUUGCUUUCUCGAGCGAGUGGCGAACGGGUGAGUAACGCGUGAGGAACCUGCCUCAAAGAGGGGGACAACAGUUGGAAACGACUGCUAAUACCGCAUAAGCCCACGACCCGGCAUCGGGUUGAGGGAAAAGGAGCAAUCCGCUUUGAGAUGGCCUCGCGUCCGAUUAGCUAGUUGGUGAGGUAAUGGCCCACCAAGGCGACGAUCGGUAGCCGGACUGAGAGGUUGAACGGCCACAUUGGGACUGAGACACGGCCCAGACUCCUACGGGAGGCAGCAGUGGGGAAUAUUGCACAAUGGGGGAAACCCUGAUGCAGCGACGCCGCGUGGAGGAAGAAGGUCUUCGGAUUGUAAACUCCUGUUGUUGAGGAAGAUAAUGACGGUACUCAACAAGGAAGUGACGGCUAACUACGUGCCAGCAGCCGCGGUAAAACGUAGGUCACAAGCGUUGUCCGGAAUUACUGGGUGUAAAGGGAGCGCACGCGGGAAGACAAGUUGGAAGUGAAAUCUAUGGGCUCAACCCAUAAACUGCUUUCAAAACUGUUUUUCUUGAGUAGUGCAGAGGUAUGCGGAAUCCCCGUGUAGCGGUGGAAUGCGUAGAUAUCGGGAGGAACACCAGUGGCGAAGGCCGGCUACUGGGCACCAACUGACGCUGAGGCUCGAAAGUGUGGGUAGCAAACAGGAUUAGAUACGCUGGUAGUCCACACCGUAAACGAUGAUUACUAGGUGUUGGAGGAUUGACCCCUUCAGUGCCGCAGUUAACACAAUAAGUAAUCCACCUGGGGAGUACGACCGCAAGGUUGAAACUCAAAGGGAUUGACGGGGGCCCGCACAAGCAGUGGAGUAUGUGGUUUAAUUCGACGCAACGCGAAGAACCUUACCAAGUCUUGACAUCCCUUGACGAACAUAGAAAUAUGUUUUCUCUUCGGAGCAAGGAGACAGGUGGUGCAUGGUUGUCGUCAGCUCGUGUCGUGAGAUGUUGGGUUAAGUCCCGCAACGAGCGCAACCCUUACUGUCAGUUACUACGCAAGAGGACUCUGGCAGGACUGCCGUUGACAAAACGGAGGAGGGUGGGGAUGACGUCAAAUCAUCAUGCCCUUUAUGACUUGGGCUACACGCGUACUGCAAUGGCGUUAAACAAAGAGAAGCAAGACCGCGAGGUGGAGCAAAACUCAGAAACAACGUCCCAGUUCGGACUGCAGGCUGCAACUCGCCUGGACGAAGUCGGAAUUGCUAGUAAUCGUGGAUCAGCAUGCCACGGUGAAUACGUUCCCGGGCCUAUUGUACACAGGGCCCGUC